CCUCCUUUCUUCCUCCUUUCUGCCUCUUGGUCCAUGGGCGCGCGCCUGCACCAGCCAAGUAGCGUGAAGGAUGACUGCCCUACGGGUUGUAAACUUCUUUUAUAAAGGACUCAAGUGAGGCACGUGUGCCUUUUUGUAUGUACUUUAUGAAUAAGGAUCGGCUAACUCCGUGCCAGCAGCCGCGGUAAUACGGAGGAUCCGAGCGUUAUCCGGAUUUAUUGGGUUUAAAGGGAGCGUAGAUGGGUUGUUAAGUCAGUUGUGAAAGUUUGCGGCUCAACCGUAAAAUUGCAGUUGUUACUGGAAUCCUUGAGUACAGUAGAGGUAGGCGGAAUUCGUGGUGUAGCGGUGAAAUGCUUAGAUAUCACGAAGAACUCCGAUUGCGAAGGCAGCCUGCUGGACUGUAACUGACGCUGAUGCUCGAAAGUGUGGGUAUCAAACAGGAUUAGAUACCCGUGUAGUC
Molecule: ribosomal RNA, 460 nt
Filed under: uncultured bacterium
Lineage: Bacteria
Description: partial 16S ribosomal RNA
Rfam family: Bacterial small subunit ribosomal RNA
Source: RNAcentral